Long non-coding RNA from Anolis carolinensis (green anole), 26391 nucleotides. RefSeq lists it as uncharacterized. The transcript has 2 exons. The record is from RefSeq and is a predicted model, not a curated record. Lineage: Eukaryota; Metazoa; Chordata; Lepidosauria; Squamata; Anolidae.
GAGUCUAAUGCUGUUUCAUCUGUUGGCAUGGUACCCCGUUAUUGUAUUGCUUCCACAGAAAGAUACGCUCCAUUACCAUGUUCUACCUCAACUGGGAUAAAUUGACCAAACUUUGCACUGAAAUGAUCAAAACUAAAUCAUCAAAAUAAAGAAAUUAAUAUAGAUGAAAAUCUCUAUCCACUAGUGAAUGGUAAAGAAAUCUCACAGCUUGGAAUUUCCACUUUAUUUUAAAGUGGUGCCAUAUUGGAGGGAGGGAGGAGAAUUGAUUUGAAGGACAUCUGGCGUGACUGGAUUAACGUUUUCAUUUUGAAGAGUCAAAAGAAUCAGGCCUGAAAUCACCAUAUGACAUAAUGAAGCCCCUGCUGUAGCAGGACACAAAAUUUUUCCACCAGUAUUGGGAGGCUAGCAGUUACCAUUGUACUUCCUCACAAUAUUCCCAACAUAGCAUUGUGGGAAAUAAAAAUAGCACCCACCUGCAGUGUCUUGAAAUAUAUUUACGAACCCAAUCCUUUCUGCAUUUUAUUGUAUUGAACUGUAAUGGUUUUAGCUGGCAUUGUUACCACUUGAUGUAUGUAUGCACCAUACUGGGAUGCUGUAAUAUAUUUGUCCCAUGGUAUAAAUAUUGAGUAAAUAAUAAUAAUAACAAUUUUAUUUUUGUAUCCUGCCUCUUCUCGAAGGGACUCAGGGCGGCUUAUAUGGGGAAUAUGCCCAAUUCAACAACAAAUUAAAACCAACAUAGAUUAAAACAUAGCUUGAUAAAAUCAAUAACAUACAAUUAAAUAUUGGGGGGGGGGGACAGACAGACAAUAGUGCAAUAUAUUCUCAAAUAGGACUGGAGGACAAAAUGAAUAAGAAUAUUAAAUUAGAACUGAAGGAACAAUGUCAUUUAAUGCUAAACCUAUAGGACAAAGGACAGGGAUAAAGUGCAAGGACUGAUGGUGGUUAUAGUUGGGGCUGAAUUUCCUAUGACUGUUUAAUUGAAAACACAAUGGAACAUCCACGUUUUUAGAUCUUUGCGGAUUGUGGACAAGGUGGGUGCUGCUCUAAUCUCCCUGGGAAGAGAGUUCCAGAGCCGGGGCUCCCUCCCUCAUCUCCCACCAAGCGUGCUUGAGACAGUGAUGGAAGCGAAAGAAAGGCCUCUCCCGCAGAUCUAAGAGCCUGUGCGGGUUCAUAGGGGAAGAUGCGAUCAUGAAGAUAGGCAGGCCCUUGAAUUGAGCCUGGAAACUUAUCAGCAGGCAAUGGAGCAGUUUAAAUGGGGCUUGACCGCUCCCUGUAACUUGCUCCAGUUAAUAACCUGACAGCUGAUCUUCGUACCAGCUGUAAUUUUCAAACCAUCUUCAAAGGCAGCUCCACAUAAAGCGCAUUACAGUAGUCCAAUCUAGAAGUAACUAAGGCAUGGAUCACCAUGGCCAAGUCAGACUUCACGAGGUACGGUCGCAGUUGCCGCACAGGUUUUAAUUGUGCGAAGUCCCUCCCGGCCACUGCCGACACCUGAGCAUCAAGCGUCAGUGCUGAGUCCAGGAGGACCCCAUUUAUAAAUCUGGCAUUUAUAGAUUUUAUUAAUAUUCAUUCCUUUUCUGUGAUGUAUCUUAACAAGCUUUAUUGUAACCCAUUGCCUCUAGAAGUCACUUAAGCCAUUGAAAGAAGUCUACCUUUGUGCAAUUAAGGCAUCGUGGUCUCAAAUUAAAUGCACUUCCUUCUGGAAGGCUUCAAAAUUUGUUAGAGAGUUAUCUCAACAACCAAAACCUUAAAGAACAAUUAAUUAUCAAGACAAAUCAGUGACCUGGGUAAGAAAAGCAUUAUGAACUGAAAAACUUAAGUGUUAACCCUGAAUCCUACUUUGAGUCCCAGUAAUAUAAAUAAUUAAAGGCCAGUGUAAAUAAAGACUAUGAUGAUGAUGAUGAUUCUGCAAGAACAUGAAAGAUCUGCAGCUGAGGUGGGUGAAAUCAUUCACAGAACAACUCCCCAUUCGACAACCCACUAAACUGGGCAGUAUGGAAGAGUAGCAAGAGGAAAGCCAUAGCUGAAGAAAACUCUUAUCAACAUGAAACGUAGCAGACAUGUAGAAAAAGGUUAUGUGAUCUUGCUAAGUAAAAAAUGACUUUUUCUCUCUUGUCCAAAAUACUAUGUGGUGCCACGUAAACAGUGCUUAUUAACCCUACACCACCACCCUUCUAUGAAGCACUCUGUUGUGGGGAUAUUUGUCCUUGGCAGGAGCUGGGAGACUGGACAGAGUUGAGGACAAUAUUGCUUUAUUUAUUGGGGGGCGCUGAAAAGGUCUGGAUUGAGAGCACAGAGGUGCACUUUUCAACAGGGUAUUAACUGUAAACACAUCACUGAAACAAAUGCUGGAGUGCUUUAAAAACUAGUACAAAGCCCAGACCUCACUUCUACUUAGAUUCUGUGACAAGACUUGAAGGUUUCUGCUUAUUAAAAGUCCCAUCUAAGCUGAUAUUGCUGGAGCAGUUUUGCAAAGAGGAAUGAGCAAACAUAGAUUCCAAAUAGAGACUUUCCUCAGAAGACUUGCACUUGCCAUUGCUGCUAAAUGUUCUGCCACCAAAUGAUAACCUGGGGCAGAGGUGAGCUGGUGAAUAUUUAUGCAACUAACAAGUAGAAGUUUGCUUUUGUUUACUUAAUGUAUGUGCCUCAAUAAAAAUAUUGUCACUGUCAUAAUUUUCAGCAUCUUGGGUAUCUCAAGUAGUAACAGUGGCAAUUAAAUCUGUAUCAUUUCCAGGCAAUGACACAACAAAACACAGAGAAACUAAAGGUGGGGCGCACACAUACAUCUGCAACAAACUGUAAAGCAAAUAGCUAAUAUUUUAGGAAUAAUGGUAAAUUCUUGUCUUGUUGUUUCUCUGGUUGUAUCUUGCGAGGAGAUAAUAACUUGGUGCCCUUCUCAUAAAGCCUGAGACUUCGUUGUGUGUUGGAGUCCAACUCUACAUGGAUGUAAUCAGUUCUACACAAGGAUUCUGACAACAGGGAAGAAGUAGCAGUAAACCUCUCAAUUUUUGAAAGCACCUUCAAAGAGGACUAAAGCAAACUUCUUCCUCUUUUUCAGUACUGAAGUCUGAAGAUUCAGGGUUGUAUUUAAAUUAAUACAAAGCUAUUUUUCCACAUUGCAGUACUUGUGAAAGUUUGGUCUGAUAACAUCUCUCUCCACCUGUCUCUUUUUCCUUUCUAUUUCUCCCCCAUCCAUGGCUUUCUGUGAUUUUCCAAGUGAACUUUGAUAACAUUAUCAAAGAUCUUGGGGCUUUCUACACUUGUCACUGUGGAAGCUAUUGUUGCUCUGAAAAAAAUCAAUGCGUUUACAGAGCUCGAGAGAAUGUUAAGCGCAUUUAAGGUGUUUUUAGAUUUCUUGCAGGAAAUUCCUCUCUUCCCUCCUUCUGAAGGGAUGGAAAUAUUUUAGUGAAGUCAAUAACUGCCUGAAGCACAGCUUGCCCAGCAGUGACAGCAGCAACAGCUGUUGGUGGAGGAAAAGCUAUGAAAUAAACUUUCUUGCUCUCAUCUCCUUCUGGGAGGAUUGGGGAGAAGGGGGACUGGGAUGCAUGGGAAAACAAUAAGACUUUAGAGUUUGAAUGUUUCAGAACAAAAACCAGAGAAGACAGUUUCAAGUUGACUUGAUCCUUAAAGAAAUCUUGGGUAGAAUAUCUAUUUUUAACAAAUUUUUGAUACACAGCCACAGUCUUUUAGUCAUAAAAGUCUUGCUUUAGAGUUGGAGGUUGAUUUUGGUGCCAUGUCAAGAUGAAAAGUGAUAGCUUGGCAUUCUCUGGAGCCGGAGAUGCUUAUUUAAAGCCAGACUAAACGGAUUCACAUUUUUUGCAAGUGGGCUUGCAGGCAGGCAGUUUGUUUAACAUGAUCUGCUCUUUCACCCCUCCGAGGAAGCUUCUGGAGAUUUUGGCCAUGGUUCCAACACAGGCAGAGCGAAGUGUGACUUAGUUUUCUAGAUGUAGUGGUGUUUUGCCCCAUGGGGAUUGCCAGAAGGGCUCUGAGAACCCCUCCAUGUCUCAUAUUGUUACCAGUAGCUUCCAGUCUUGAGAUUGUAAUCCCUACAGGCAUCCAUGGGACAUGCCCGUUCUUUUCCAUCUGUGGGUGGACUUGUGGUAGAAUUUCUUCAUACUUUUGCCUUCUCUCCUAGCUGUAGACAUCCUUACUCAGGCAUCUUGUACAGUGGGACCAAGAUUUCAUUCUAGGUCAGUGAAUGGAAGUGGAAACCACAGUUUCUUGUAUCAUCCAGGCAGGUGCAUCUAAAUUUUCCAGUAUUUCUCUCACAUUACCAUCUUAAGUUUGUAACUUCCAAAGAUUUUCCCCCACACAGGUUGAAAACAAUGAUCACUCUUCCACAGAAAUGUGAAAAAAACACAUUUUUUAAAAAUAGGUUUUAGAGUGAGGGUUGAGCUUUCAAAUGGGCCAAUCUAUUAGAAAGUCUCUGUUAAGAUAGAGCUCAGCUGUAAUCACAUUUUAAGGAUUGAUGAGCUACCUACUUUGCAGUAUCAUAAAAUGACUGUUGUUAGCAUAGGGCAAAAGAAAAUCAGGACCAAGGAGUAUAAAUAGCAACACAGUUGGAUGUCUUUAUGGCAGCAAACAGGAAGGAGAGAGGAGAUAUAUGUGUGCAUUGUUCUUAGUCUGAGUUCCUCAGGAACAUAGUCAUUUGUCCAGGUGUUUUCCAUCAUAUAUUAGAAGACAGUCCAUUUCAAAGGAAGGUUGAUUUCAGAAACAAAGUUUAUGACUUAUUACCUUAAACAACAUUGGCAAGUAUUAAUGUAUAACAGAACCAUGUGCCUUCAAUCACGUUCCUUACAUGCAGUACUCUGGCAUUACAUUUUUGCUUUGCUGCAAAAACAAGCUUCAAAUAAAACCGAGUUUAUGGGAAAAGGUUUCUUCUUUUUUUUAUGGGGGAUUUCAAAAUCAUGUGAAAGAUUCUUUCAAAUGUUAUAAAAUCAGGCCUUGCUUGCUAUUCGUAGAAUUGCUGUUUGCAGACUUUCCGUGAUGUCUAAACCACUUUUCCCCCUAUAAAGAUGAAGCAGUUACAUAGCUGGCCCUCAAAGAGUUUCUCCAUCCUUUCCUGAAACAGAGAGUGACUAUCCUGGGCCCAUUGAAUAAGGACUCCCAUGUUUAUAAAGGAGCAAAGGCUUCACAGUGCUCUCCAUGCUUAAUAAAAGGGUAGAUUGUUUGGAUUGAUUUUGUGCCAUCUGAAAAUAGUCACACAAAGCCUUCAUGCCAAACAAACCUUGGAAAAUCCCAUCUCUAACCUAUAAGAGAGGUUUUGCCGCUCAGUAGGGAUGUAUAACUUAACAUGUAUCCUAGUAACUGUUCCUCUCGUCCCCCUCUGGCUUGCACUCUAUGGGAGUGGUGUCUCAUAGUUCCUAAGGUAACAGGUGAGCAAGGAGGUAAGAGUAAGUUGGCUUAUGGCAACAAUAAAUGAGUGAAGUAAUUGCAUGUUACCUCAUUUUUCCACUGAAACAUUUGGAAUCUUAGGCUUAAAGUGAGUUUCUUCCACCCAAUCUCUGUGUUUUAAUUUGCCUAAAUGGAAAUGGCACUUGGACCCUCUUUAAUGUCUUUUCAGAAUGGAGUGGCAGCAUAAAUGCUUCUGUGAAAUUGAAAACGAAGGCCACAGAGGGUUAGGCAGCCCUGUGCUCUGUUGUGCUAAUGCUGUCACUCUUGACAGUGAUUUACAUUUGAAAUUCCUAGAGGGUAAAAGAGCCAGACAGAGAUCUAGAAGCCACAAACAGGAGGCAACAGCACAUUAUGACAUAUUUAGGAAAUAGUUCAUCUGCAUGCCAUAGAUAAAUCAUCUUCAAUUGUUAGCAUGUUUAGAUAGUGAAGGGAUAUAUUUUCUAGCAGGUGAUGAUUGAAACAAGGAGAGCAUCUCUGCCCAUUUUCAUCCUUUCCCAGAAGUAAUGUGCUUUUUCACAUUUCAUCUUUCACUUGGGAAACCAUAAACAAACAUCAUAAUGCCUCUAGAUGGGUCUCUUCCAAAGUGAAAAUUGGCCUCUGAUUAGCCUCCAAGGUGGAUAACCAUCUUGGAGUUCUUUCAUAAAAGUGUCUUUUGUAUCUUUCCCAUACCCGAAUUAUUGAUGAACUUACAAAGUGGUUUCCAAAAUUCUUCUCUUUGGCAGUCCUCCCAUACCAAAGGUACGAAUUUCAGCCCUUUCGCAGGUCGAAUCCUUCCAGGACCAAAAUUUUUGGAUUUGCCAAUUUUAUCCAAUCCUUAACCCAUAUUAGAGCACAGGCUUCGAAGUAUAUUUUUAAAUCAGGGAGGACAAAACCUCCUCUUUUUUGUGAAUCAAUCAUUGUUUUAUACUAUUCUAUGGUUCUUCCCUUUCCAAACAACUUUCAUUAUAUCUUUAUUCCAUUCUUUAAAAAAUUUUAUGUUCCAAAUUAUUGAUAAGUUUUGAAAAAGAUAUAAAAGCUUAGGCAAUAUAUUCAUUUUAAUCGCGGCUAUUUGACCUAGAAGUGACAGGUUCAGAUUUUUCCAUGCCUCUAAUUCUUUUUUAAUUUCUAUCAAUUUCUGUGUAUAGUUGUUUUUCAAAUUUGAUUAUUUUUUGCAGUAAUCCAAAUUCCCAAAUAUUUAAAUUUCUUUACAAUUUGAAAUCCUGUUUCCUGUAGCACAAUCUCUUGGUUUUUCUUAGUCAUAUUUUUUGUCAGGAUCAUCGUUUUCUUAUUAUUUAUCUUAAAGUCUGCCAACUGGCCAAAUUCUUCUUUUUUUAAUCCAUUUUUGUAUAUUAUCUUUUGGGUUUUCAAUAAUACAGAUAACAUAAUCUGCAUAAACUCUGAUUUUGUACUCUUGUUUAUCGAUUUUAAUUCCUUUUAAUUCUUGAUCUUCUUGAAUAUUUCUUAGUAAAAUUUCUAAAGCAAAUAUAAAUAUUAAAGGGAAAGGGGGCCCCCUGAUUGUACCUUUACUAAUUGAAAAUUCUUCUGAAGCUUGGCCAUUGAUUAAUAUUCUUGCUUUCUGUUGUUGAUAAAUUGCAAUAACCGCAUUUUGAAAUUGAAAUCCCAUGUCCAUUUCUUAAAACAAUGUUUUUUUUAAAAAAUUCCAAUUUAAGUUAUCAAAUGCUUUCUCCGUAUCUAGGGAAAGCAAUGCCAAUUCUUUUUGAUGGUAAGUUUCGUAGUAUUCCAAAAUAUCUAAUAUAAUUCUUAUAUUAUCUUUUGAACUUUUUCCUGGUAGGAAUCCUGCCUGGUCCUCUCCAAUUCAUUCCUUUAAAAACUCCUUUAAUCUAUUAGCCAUAAUUGUUGAAAAAAAUGUGUAAUCCAUAUUUAGUAGUGAAAUCGGCCUGUAUCCUUUAACAUCGUCUUGUUCCGCUUCUUCUUUGGGGAUCAUUACUAUAUCAACAUUUUUCCACAUUGCCAUAAAUUGCGAAACCAUGUUUUUUCAAUGUUUUUCAUCAGGGAGAUGCAGGAAAGAAGGGGGUGGAAAUGUUUAUAAAAAUUAGAAACCUGCAAUAUAAAUACCAUAUUUUGAAAGUAAUUUUGUUACAUUAGGAACAUGUACCAUUUGGCUGACACAGAAUUAUCAUGUUUGGUAUAUUAAAACUACAGUGUACUGAGAAUAUAAUUGCAAAGUAAAUAUACUUUUCAAAAAUGUCCCUUUUUGUUUCAAGUGGAGGUACAAGGAUUUGAAAUAUAAAGAACACAUGAACUGUAAAUGCAAUCUUUAGCUUCAUCCAAAUGGAGCAAAUUGUAGUUUAUUUUAACAAGAAGGGGUUGUGUGUUGCUGUUUUUGGAAGCCAGCUAAUUUCAGUCUGGAUUUUGUCAUUGCCUUGUUAUAACAAACCACACUUAAGAUUUGGGCUAAGCUAAAUGAACAGACCUUGCCAAGAAAACCCUGUGAUAGGUUUAUCCUAGGGUCACCAUAGGUUGGAAAUGACUUGGAAGUCACACAACAACAACAACAACAACAACAACAACAACAGCAUCCCAGUUCAGGGUUCAAUUGUAAUGCUAGACUGUGAUUCAUUAAAAAACAGAAUUAAAAACCCCUGAUAGUUCUUACUAGGGAAAGGGGAGUCUGAAAUUUGCUUUGGCUUGUUCCCAGCACAAUAAUCUAUUUUAUCAUGACAACUGAAUUGUUGGAUUUCCUGUAAAUGGAUAUUACCUGUGGAAGGUGGGUGGUGAGGAAAAAGAAACUUUGUCACUGGCCACUGAUAUUUUUGUGCUUUAUUACUUUUAUUGCCAUUGCGAUCUGCAUUUAAAUGUAAAAGCAGCUAAGCCUUUAAAAUAGAAGCAAAUAGAGUACUGCUCAUGAAGUCUCACUUCACAGGAUUUCCACAAAUCUUGGCAAAACUUAGCCAUGAUUUCUGGCCAAACUAACCAUAUGCUCUGUGUUGUCGAAGGAUCCUCUGAAGAUGCCAGCAACAGAUGCAGGCAAAACGUCAGGAGAAAAUGCUGCUAGAGCAUUGCCAUACAGCUCAGAGACCACACAACACCCUAGCCUACUCUCCCUGUAGGUAUCUAGUAUUGGGACAGAACUCUGGGAUCUUCUAUGACAAAUCAGAUUUUCAUUGAAUGAGUUCAAUGGGACUCACUCAUCAGAAAAUGUGCCCAGGGUUGCAGCCUUACUUGUUGCAGCUUUACCUGUUGUAGCCUCUGAUGUGGUUCUUCUCCAACCCUGCCAUAUAUUUCUUUGAAUUAUUUCCACUCAUUCCUCAUCUCAACAGAUCUAUAAAAGCUGCACCAAAUUAAUAUUUUAAUAGGCGUGUUAACGUCUUGACCAAAUUUCAUUCCACACACAUUGUUGUUUUAUUAACACUUUUAUAGGUCAGGUUUGGCUGAUUUUGGACCAGAUGUAGAGGCACUGGAGCAUAUAGCAGAUGCGUAAGUGUGCAAAUGAGUGUGUGUACCCACACAGCCAAACAGAAGUCCUAUUGUCCUUUCAUAGUUGGUUGCAAAUAAAUACAUGUUUGUUUUCUGAGAAACCUCAUGCCUCUUAGAUAAUUGCUUCCAAUUGGUUUAAUGUUAGUGACUCAGCUUUAGCUCAGGGCUAUGCAGUGGGUGACCCUUCACACUAAACAUGCUCCACUAGCCAUGCGUGUCAAGCCAUAAGGGGCUUAAGAACAUAACAUACAGACUGUUUGCCUAGAUUUGGGGGCGUGUGGGCAUCAGCCACCUGUCUGACAUCAGUGCACGGCCAGUGGCCCAUGGGUUACACAGGCCUCUCAAGCUCUAAUGGAACAGUAAUAUCUCCUCCGCUUCUCUUUGUAGAAGGCAUUGAUUUAGGCAGCUUUGCAAUUCCCAGUUGUGAGUUGUCAUUGCAUUACCAUAAGAGGACUCUGCUCUCUGUUCAUGAUAUGUUAUCAGAAGAAAGCAUUUGUCCAGUAAAAAGUUGAUCUGAUAAUAAAUUUAUCUUGACACUUUCCUCAUUCCCACUACCAAGGGAGGAGAUGGAAAUUAGGCAUUCUUUCCCAAAAAUCCAAACUCUGCAUGUUUCAGCUGAUUAAUUUGGAUCAUUUUAUCUCAACAUUUGAACCACUGCAUGGGUUGUCAUGAAUUAUUGGAUGUCUGCUAUUUUGGAAAUGCUUACUUGAAGGACUCCUGAGGAAGAGUGAAUUAUUCCAGCUGUUGCUAUAUCGGACAUAAAUUUACUAAUCAUAUUUGGGAAGUGAGGAUGUAAGUGAUAAGCAAAAGAAAGUAUGAUAAGAACUUUUGAAUUUGUCGGGGAAUCAAAGAUGCUGUCUACUUUUGCUUGAGGAACAGAUUGGCUGUAGAAGGAACUCCCAGGUAACACAUAAUAAUGAAAGACAUGGAUCUGCCUAGAUGUAGAUUAUUAGAAAACAUACAUUCUCUCCUUCCUGGAUCUACUUCAAAGAUGCUGCCUGACUCCAAGCAUAUUGUAUGAUACCAAAUAUUUCUCAGUUUUUAAAAUCUGUCUUGUUUACCCCAAAUGUGAAUUCUUAUGAGAAAGAGACCAUUGAGAGAAACCUAGGCCAUAUGACUUGUGAAGUUUUAUUUGAUUUGACACAAUACUUUGUUUUCAGCAAUUGAUUUGUGUGUAUGGAAUUAUCUUGGAUACAAAGGCUGAUAAAAUGGUAAGCUUUUCCAACAGCCAAAUACAUCUCUAUUAGUCACACCAAUUUACAUUGGAGAAGAAUAUUAAUUUUCUUUCUGUGGGGUAUUUACAUAAGAAGGAACAGCUCUCUGAAGUAGACUUCCAAAAGUUGAAAAGCAAAACAUAACAAAUCAGUAAGCAAGCCAAACAUUACGAAAAGACUGCUAGUAUUUAAAAAUGUUAUUCAGAAAAUAUAAACUUCUAGAAACAUUUAACGCAACAGUAUUGGAAACCAUCUCAGUUGAGUAACUCACAGUGCUUUCUCAUGGAAAGACCACAAAAACCAAGUGGACUGAAGAGGGGAGCAGGUUUGUUAAGAGGAUUGAAGAGGGAGCACGUUUGCUUUCUGCUGCCCUGGAAACUAGAACUCGGAGCAGUGGGUUCAAAUUACAGAAAAGGAGAUGCCACCUGAACAUUAGGAAGAACUUCCUGACUGUAAGAGCUGUUCAGCAGUGGAACUCUGCCUCGGAGUGUGAUGGAAGCUCCUGGGUGGCCAUCUGUUGGGGGUGGUUUGAUUGUGCUUUUCCUGCAUUGCAGGGGGUUGGGCUAGAUGGGCUGUGUGGUCUCUUCCAACUCUAUGAUUCUAUUAUUCUAUGACUUUUGAAGGCCUGUAAUGGCAAUGCAGGAUAUAUACAACUGACAAUGCAUGCUGCAGUCAUUGACCUACACCUGAGAGAGUUUGAUGCCUAGUGCUAUCAUCCCGAUUGUUUUUACUGUGAAAAGGGCUUGAACAGCUAGCCCCCCCCCCCCCCAAAAUGACAUUUUGGUAUGGGUAAAGAUGGAUUUUCAAGUACCCUGCUUCAAACUGUAUAGUGGUGUGCUACUCGAAAUAAUGAUCCCUGGACCGAUGCUAGUCUCUUAAACUAUUGGCUGCUGGUUUCUGUUGAAUUUCCUGGGAGAGAGGGGAAAGGGAAUUGUAGUAAAUGGGCCCAAAUAUGCCGUUAACAGUGAUCCCUGACAUGCUGGAAAACAAUCAUUGCCUGUACACCAUAUCAGAUAGCCUGAGAAGCAUUGGUGUAGUAAUAUUUUUUUGCCAUUUGAACUCUAAUCAUUGACCCUGCUUCUUAGUGGGGGGUUGGACUGGAUGGCCCAUGAGGUCUCUUCCAACUCUACUAUUCUAUGAUUCUAUGACCCAAUCUGGUAGGCAUAAUGUUUCUUUGCCCUUAGUACUUUUGAAUGACAAGGAAUUGAUGGGACUCUACACCUGGAUUGAAGAUGUUUUAGAGGGAUUAUGUUGAUGGACCUCAUUUCAGUUGAGCUUCUAGGGAACUUGUAAAAUCUGGAUUUAUCUCUGGGGGAGACCUUCAGACCUUAUCUGCCAUGCUGAUGGAGUUUAAAAGCAGUUCACAGACAGUCAAAUCUGGUAGAGUAGUAAUGUGUCUAUGUUAAUGAUAUCCGCUGAUUCCUGUAUAAUAUAAGACUGACCUCCUUUUCCCCAGUAAGAUAAUUUCCCCUUUAAUCACAUCCACAUUAAGUCCUGCUGCCUAUGUUAAAUAUUUCCUAGAUUUUCCCAGGAUUGAAUCUCCCUGUGUAGACAUACUCAAUUUAAAGACACGAUACAACAGUGAAAGCACAUAGAACAAGCAAGGGAUACUCAGCAUUAUUGGACAAGCUGGCAGGGGAACUGCCUCUCACAUUACUUAAGGCAGAGAUUCUGGUGGGAUAAUUAACAAACUGAAUCAAAUAUUGACUCGGCAAUCCUUAGGCAGGUCACUCACCUCUCAGGCCUUCUGCCUAAGGACUGAUAGAAAUAGGCUACCACUCAUCAGUCUUUUUAUUCUUUGGGAAAGUGUUCAAUUGCCAGCUAUCUUGACUGUGUCCCUUGUACAUGUACAAGAACAAACACGCCGAGAAGGCUUCUACGUGCAUCUCCACUGAUUCCAUUUAUUAGAAUCAUACUAGAUUGCCACCGCCAAAAUAAUCCUCAGACGCCCGACAUGAACCAUGGUGGUCAUGGUUUUCAGACCUACUUAGCAUGAAGGUUCUGGGUCACUGGCAGAAAGAGAAGAAAGAUUUGCAUCUUCAAGGGCUAGCUAUUCUUUCUUCUCUGGAGAUGUUCUAGCAAACAUUUUAAGAUUUAAUGGCAGUACUUGGAUAAAAUGAGUUGCCUAGCAAAAGAAGCUUGAAACAUCAUCAUCCAGAAUAAACCUAGGGAUCCACAGUGUUGGUGUGAUUUGGUCUAUUCUAACUCUAUGAUUCUACGAUUGUUGGACUAGAAAGACCAGGAUCUGAAUCCAUAGUUGCCUUAGUUUGGAAUUGACUUGAAGGCAUGUAAUAAUAAUAAGAACAACAACAGCAGCAACAACAACGAGGAACUCCACCAACUGGGUCUAUACUACAACCUAGAGAGGCUUCUUUCAGUGAUGUCAGGGUGGUGGAUGUUGACCCAGUUCCAGUUGACGUGAGGCAGUCCUAGAUUUCUGAACAGCUUUAGAAGAAAGAGUUGAACAUCAGCAUGAUUGAGAGAUGCUGAGGAACAUCUUGCAGUAUGCAGCUAAAAUUUCUUCCCUUCCAGCUUUUGCCUCAAGAUUCAAAGAAGUGGAAUGCCAAUUAUGCCCCCCACAGUUUAGAAAUCAUUGCUCCAGGGAAGACAAAUAGCUGUGAUGAGUAAAUGAUGGUGGGGAAGGUGCUGAAAUCAUAUGCACUUUCUAGAAGUGAUAUUUCCUUCACUGGCUCGUCCUUUCCUCUUGCUGUUGAUUUUGAUGACAGCUACUAGGCUUGGAUUAUGUCUACUCCUCCAUUUCUGUUUGCCAUGCUAUUGGAAAGGGUCAAAUUGUCCAGUGAUUAUAGCACUUGCAGCUGGAGGGAGAUUGUUCCUUUUAUUUGGCAAGUCUUCUUCUCUUCUGGUCCAGUGCCCUGGAUCCCCAUUUGACAGGUGAAAAGCUCAUACCUCAGUCUGAGUCAAGCUGUUGUGAUUUGUCUGUAUAUACAUUAAAAAUAACAUAUAUAUAUAUAUCUAUAGGCGCCUCCGGUGGCGCAGUGGGUUAAACCCUUGUGCAGGCAGGACUGCUGACGUGAAGGUUGGGUUGCUGACCUGAAGGUUGCCGGUUCAAAUCAGGGGAGAGCUCAGAUGAGCUCUCUGUCAGCUCCAGCUCCCCAUGUGGGGACAUGAGAGAAGCCUCCCACAAGGAUGAUAAAAACAUCAAACAUCCGGAUGUCCCCUGGCAAUGUCUUUGCAGACGGCCAAUUCUCUCACACCAGAAGUGACUUGCAGUUUCUCAAGUUGCUCCUGACAUGAAAAAAACUCUCCAAAACAUACAUUAAUAAAGUGUGUAUGUAUGCAUUAGCAGUUGAUAUACUUAGUAGCAGAUAUAUGAUUAAAUCAGUUUGUGUAAUAUAACUUAAUAUUGCUUAAUUUUGCAUUGUAUUAGGUUUUCAGUGUUCUAUAUAGUUGCUUAACUCCUCAAAAUCUUCCCCGUUGCUUUUGCUGGAAUGGAUCAAAAUCUUUCUUGCCACUUAGUGUCUUGAUUUGAUUUGUCUCCAUAAACAUUUACUAAAAUUCUGGGAAAGGAAGCUUUUCUCUAAUUUCUUGUGUUUUAAUAAGAGUCUCACAAGAUUUUGUUGUGCACUGCUAAGGUCUUGAAUCCUAAGGGCCCACCGUUAGUGAAGAUAGCAGUUUCUGCAAGGAGGAUUGAAAUUGGUACUUAAAAUAAUACUCAGCUUGUCAAAUUUUGCUAGAAAUAUUAAAAGUGAGAGAGACAUGAGUAUCAACACUCUGGACUUAUCUGGUCAGCUGGGUAUCAGCCUAUUUUAAUACUGUGAUAAACAGCUUAGAAUCUAUUUUAGAAUGCCUGUCUGCUGGAUGUCUGUUUAGACUUCCUGUUUAUUUGACUGUCAUUUUUAAGCGCAUCAAAUAAUGGAUCUUUGGACAUCUCCCUCAGAACAGAUUUUUCUAGGGAUUUUUCAGAUCUGCAUAAGAAAGUGGCACAACUGUAAACAUAUUCAUAUUUGUCAUGAAGAUAUAGUGCAUAAAGGGAUUUGUAGUGUUCAUUUUAUGGAUCAAAGGCAUGGCAGGGAAAGGAAUGAGAUAAUUAGUAAAAAUAGGUUGCAGCUACUCAACCGGGUGGAUCACACAGUCUGCAAUUACUUGAGAACCUUCUGUUCUUCUGAUGGAAAAUACAACUCUGGGAUGGAAGAUCAAACAUUUAAACUGGUUUUUCACAAGGGAUGAUGUGCAAUAUGAUGAGAUUAUAGGAGACAGCUUCCUGCACAAAUAGACCAAUCAAGAAGCAAGUAUGUAAUUGGUAUAUAAACAGUUUAAAAAUCUGAUAGUGCUAAUGUCAAAAGAAUGUUAGUUGAGAUAGGUGUGGAAACAACAAAGCAAAAAGUAGUAGAACAACUUGGAGCCAAAGCUAGGAAAAGUACAAUAGGAGCUCUGUUUUUUUACUCGUUGCCCACAGGUAUUGUUCACUAUGUUUAAGAUAGAUUGUAAACACUUAAUAUGUUUUAGGUUUCACUCUUGCGAUUCAGUGAGUCAUGUCUUGGGACUGGAUGUGAAAGUUGUACAUUGAAAUACUUGCUGAUUUCCAUUGGGUGGUCAUUAACCAAGUAAUAAUUCCCAAUUUAGGAUUAUUGGAAUGUUACCCUAAUUUUUUAGCCUGUAUUCUUGGCAAUAGGAGAAUGAGAGACAAGAACAGCAAUUUUUCCAGAAUAAUUUCUACUUGUAUCUCAAGUGUGGAUGUCUGGCAGCAGUGCUUCAUCUCUACUUUUCCUCUCUGUCCAUGAUGCAGUCAUGCCGGCCACAUGACCUUAGAGGUGUCUAUGGACAACGCCAGCUCUUCGGCUUAGAAAUGAAGAUGAGCACUGAAGAGAGCCCAAUUUGUGGUACUCAACUCAGGCAGGGGAAAUUCUUUUUUUAAAUCCCACUGCUGCCUCCAAUUGAGGAGAUGUGCGCAUGUGUGAGAGGGAGGGAUGGAGGAUGUGUGAAUGUAUGACAGGGAGAAUUUAGUGGAUAAGGAAGGAUAACCGAACUGAUGGGUUUAAAUGAGUAAAGAUGGUAACUUAUAUAUAAAAGUACGGUAACUUAUAUAGAUAGGUACGGUAACUGCCACCAACGUGAGGUAAUGGGUUUCUUUCAGGCUUACAGAGAGGCAAGGAGAUUGAUCUUUGUGAACAAUAACAAAAUUCAAGUUUAUUUGUACAUAAGCGUAUGGUUCCAAUACAUAAACGUUUCAGGAUCUUAAGUUACAAUGCCGUCUUGUUUGAAUGGAUAUUUCUUAAAUAACUUCUCUUCAAAACAGUAUACUAAACUCCCGGUCAACCUAUAUUCCCAGCCUUUCCCCUGAGUGACCAUAAGCUGCCGUCCUUAGCUGAUUUCCACAGCUCCUAAUCUUUCCAAGACCUAACCGCAACUGUCCUUUUUAAACCCUCACAGCAACUCCUUUUUAAAAAAGGGAAUAUACUCUCAACUGUCAACUUAGCCACGCCCCCUUUUUCCUCCCAAGGGAAGCUGUGUUACCAUGGCAACCUACCAAAUGCUGCUUCCAGCUAGUUUCCAUGUUAGGCUUUUCCUUGCUAAUAUAUAACUCUUUUUUUUAACAAACAAAUAAAUAAAAUUAUAUCAAUAAUCUCUGUUUAACACAUAACUUCUCUACAAGCGCCAAUCCCCAGAGUCAGUCAUGACAGGACUUAACGUCAGGGGAAACCUUUACCUUUACCUUACCAGAAAGGUAGUGUGUAAAUCUGAAAUGAGCUCACACUGAUGGAUUGACAAAGAUCCCAAGUAUAUCAUUUCAGCUGCCUCAAACAUGCUACCAGCUGAGAAAGGUUUCCCUGGGUAGGCCUCUUGGUUGAUCUGCAUGUCUCCCAAGACAAGUAAGAAACAUUAGGUGCCUCUUCUUUCCUGGCCUCUCUCUUCCCCCGCCCACCUCUUUUCCCAAAGUGGGAUAAGGUUUCUACCACAUUGUUAAUUUCAAUUUAAUGAGCUAGCUUGUAUUGGAGAAUUGGUAUGAGUGAUGCCAAAAGUGUAUGAAAUUAAGCUUCGAAAGGUAGAAAGCUGGAGCAAUGUUACAUCUAGAGCCAAAUUACUAAGAUGAAAGCAUCUCGAAUUACUCAUCUAAUUGAAAAAAUCCACAUAAUAUUUUCAGAAUUAUUUGAACAGUGAAAACAGAUACAUUUUUCUUUUGCAGCCAAGUGCUUAAAGGGCAUAAUGUGAAAAGUAUUAUCCCCCCCCCCCCCCCCGAUCUAUAGUCUUGGGAUAUUGAUUGUGUGCCCUCCAGAUUUUUUUGGACUGUAACCAAGAAUGCUGGCAGUUGCAAUUCAGUAACGUUUAGAUGGCAACAGUAGUCCUACUUCACCUAUAGUGAAAGUGUGUAAACAUAAUGAUACUAUGUACAUCUUCAUAAUGAUACUGCUGGACCAAAAAAAUCGUCCUGUCCAUCAUGCAGCUGAUGGAUAAAAGGAAAAUGGGUGCUUCUAAAAGAGUACCAUAAGAAUGGUGUAGAACCCAUACAACAUAAAUUACUGUGCUACCAGAGGAAUAGCUGUGUGUGGCAAAAGAUGGAUGGACCCACAGGGAGGAUGGUCUUAUAAAGCAUUGUUAUGUUCUAUUCUAUGUGGUUUUAAAAUGUACAUCAUGGUCACAAGGGUCUAUCAAAUUUAGUUUGUGGUCAGAAAUUGGGUAAGUGUGUUAAGUCACCAUGUAGUCUGAUCCUGUCCAAAAGGAUUCUCUCUCUAUUUAUAUGUGCUUUCAAGUAGCGUGUUGACUUAUGGUGACCACAUACAUUUUGUAGGGUUUCCUACUUUCCUUAGGCAAGGAAUACUCGGAUGUUGUUUUGCCACUUUCUUCAUUUGAAAUAUAGCCUAUAGCACCUAAUAUUCAUUGGUGGUCUCUCACCCAGGUACUGACCCUGCUUGCUUCCAAGAUCAGACAAGAUUUUGUGUCUUUAGGAUAUGUAGGCCCCUUGAAGAAUUCUGGAUACAGUAUAUGGAAAAAUGCAUCCAGCAUCCAGGUCAUUUCACCUUGUCCUAGAGAAUAUUCAUAUCUAUAUGACUUGAUCUCUUUACUUAGAAGCAAGGAGUUAAUGUGUAAUAAUACACCACUGAUGGGAUGGAACUAAUUGAUCAUAGGAUUCUAAUGAAGCUUCAUUUCUCCCUUGUCAUUCUUCUAAAAUUGUGUUUUUGCCUCUUGCAUUGAUGGUGUCACACCAGGCUAACAUCACACAAACAUCAGCCUCAUGUCGAUACCAGGCAAGAUUCUGGAAAAGAUCAUUAAGGAAGUGGUCUGCGAACACUUAGAAACAAAUGCGGUCAUUGCUAAUAAUCAACACGGAUUUAUCAAAAACAAAUCAUGCCAGACUAAUCUGAUAUUGUUUUUUGAUAGAGUUACAAGUUGGGUAGAUGCAGGGAACACCAUGGAUGUAGAGUAUCUGGAUUUUAGUAAGGCCGUCGACAAGGUCCCCCAUGACUUUAUGGCAAACAAGCUAGUCAAAUGUGGGCUAGGCAAAACUAUGGUUAGGUGGAUCUGUAAUUGGUUAAGUGAACGAACCCAAAGAGUGCUCACCAAUGCAUCUUCUUCAUCUUGGAAAGAAGUCACGAGUGGAAUGUCGCAGGGUUCCAUCCUGGGCCCGGUUCUGUUUAACAUCUUUAUUAAUGACUUAGAUGAAGGGCUAGAAGGCAUUAUCAUCAAGUUUGCAGACAAAACCAAACUGGGAGGGAUAGCUAACACUCCAGAAGACAGGAGCAGAAUUCAAAACGAUCUUGACAGCUUAGAGAGAUGGGCCGAAACUUACAAAAUGAAGUUCAACGGGGACAAAUGCAAGAUACUCUACUUAGACAGAAAAAAUGAAAUGCAAAGAUACAGAAUGGGGGCAAUGCCUGGCUCGACAGCAGUAUGUGUGAAAAAGAUCUUGGAGUCCUUAUGGACAACAAGUUAAACAUGAGACAACAAUGUGAUGUGGCUGCUAAAAAAGCCAAUGGGAUUUUGGCCUGCAUAAAUAGGAGUAUAGUAUCUAGAUCCAGGGAAGUCAUGCUACCCCUCCAUUCUGCCUUGGUCAAACCACACCUGGAAUACUGUGUCCAAUUUUGGGCACUGCAAUUGAAGGGAGAUGUUGACAAGCUGGAAAGUGUCCAGAGGACAGUGACUAAAAUGAUCAAGGGUCUGGAGAACAAGUCCUAUGAGGACCAGCUUAAUGAGCUGGCCAUGAGCCUGCAGAAGAGAAGACUGAGAUGAGACAUGAUAGCCAUGUAUAAAUAUGUGAGGAGAAGUCAUAGGAAGGAGGGAGCAAACUUGUUUUCUGCUGCCCUGGAGACUAGGAUGCGGAACAAUGGCUUCAAACUACAGGAAAGGAGAUUCCACCUGAACAUUAGGAAGAACUUCCUGACUGAGAGAGCUGUUCGGCAGUGGAACUCUCUGCCUCAGAGUGUGGUGGAGGCUCCUUUGGAAGCUUUUAAGCAGAGGCUGGAUGGCCAUCUGUCAGGGGUGCUUUGAAUGUGAUUUCCUGCUUCUUGGCAGGGGGUUGGACUGGAUGGCCCAUGAGGUCUCUUCCAACUCUAUGAUUCUAAUACAACCGUCUCUCCGGCUGUUAUGUUUUCAUCUGUACAACGGCAUUUGGUAGGGAUCUUAUCUCCACCCAAAAGAGUGAUACCUGAGAAUGGGAUAUAUGGUUGUUUGCUUUCAUGUAAGUCACUUGAUUUUCUACAGCAGUGGGAAAGAUUUUCAAAAGGUUUUCACUUUCUUGGAAUUUCAUCUCAUAAUGAUAUUACUAGCCCUCCCUUUUGGCUCAGUACAGUAGCUUGUCAAUAAAACCUAUGGAAUUGUAUAUUAAAUUCACACACACACACACACAAAAUAAACAGCUAUAAGUAUCAGGGAAAAAAUGAAAAAGCAUCCAUUUUACAUUGCAAUAUGUUUUUGUGAGGCUUUUUGCAUUUUUUUAUAGAUUUCCCCAGUGAAUCAAAAUAGCAGUAAUAAGAGUCUGAGCAUCCACUGGAGGCUACUGGCAGAAUUAUCUUCCUACUGACUUUCAUAAGCUGAUUUAUUUAUGGACAUUGGCCGAGAAUACUUUAAACCAGAAUGUAGGCAAAAAGACGAUGACUGACUUAAAGCCCUUGCUAUAGUAAAAAUAAGGAUUUGCAUAAGGGAAUUACUAUGUGGGGAUGAUAUAUCAUGCCUAUCUAGCAUAUUAAAGAGGUGCAUUUUUGGAAGUAUAAAAAGACAAUAAAAUGCUGUUGUUAUUGUUAGAAAGCAUUCAGGAUACGGCAACGAUAGCAACACUCAGGAGCUCACUGCAUUUUUUAAACCGAGCACCAGCUCACAUAUUAGUCCUAUUGGCUCAUUCUUUCUGUGCUGCUGUUGUGUUGUUUUAUUCAUUUGUAUCCUGCCUCUCUCAAUAAUGUAAUUCAGGGAGGCUAACAGCCUAUUUUAAAACAAUGCAAAUUUGAAAGUAUAUAAAAACUUGCAUAAAAGCAUAAAUACAAAAGUUAAUUGAAAACUAUUAAACAGUUGUUGGUAGAAUUCCCCACUCUAUCAAGGCAACAGUAAUAACAGUCUAAACAUCCACUGGAGGUUAAAAAUUAUAAACAAUAAAAUUUAUGCUAAAAUGUGUAUUUUAUGUCCACUUAAAGACAGCGAAGCACCGAGUUAAACAACCACCCCAAAAGGAGAUCAAGGAAGGGAUCUCCCCAUGUAUGGAGGGAGAUCUGAAGUCUAGGAGCAUCAGCAAGAAAGAAAAUGUUGACAGUUUGACACCAUUGUUCUUUAUGGCAACCAAGUCCAGGAGUGGCUAUAAGCAAGGGAAACCAUGGGCAACUGGUUCCUAGUGAGAAUAACUGUAUGAUAGAUCCUUACAAAUGUUUGUGAUACUCAUUCUUCACAUUGUUAGAUGGACACUAGCCACUCCUUAAAUGUAUCCUCAAAAUACUUGUGGUAAAUGGUGCUCCUUAUGUUUGAGGCAGAAUUUCUAAUGAUUCUGGAACUAAACAGACCUAGGAACUAUAGUUCUUUCCCCCCCACUAUAGCUCCCCAUAUUAGUGUAGUCACUGGCUAUGUUGGCAGGAGGAUUUUGGCAUCUCUUGUCCAAAAAUGUACCUUUUCCAAGCUUGGGAAUUCUGGAGUGUAUGGUAGUAGUCUCUAUGGUGGCUCCUCCUGCUUGGACAACAGGCUUCCCCUUUUGCGGGGCUGAUGAGCCAUUCAGAGUCCUGCUCCUAGGAAGGGCAGAGGAAGUUUCCUUCAUGACUGAAAUGCAGCAUGUGGCCAGACUGUCCACCAACAGCAGUGGCAACUAACUAGAAAUGUUAUUGCAGUCAUUGAAAAUGUGCCACCACAAGGCAUUUGCAUUUGUGGAUAUCCUGGGCUCUUUCUUGCAUACUUCACACAAAUACAUGCCCAAGGACAGUUGUGAAGAUUUGAACUACCUAAAAUGGCCUCUGGCUUGUACUUGGAUGGCAUUACAGCUUUAUGCCGCAUUCCUUUUAUGGCUACAGUUAGGUAAAUCAAUGCAGUCAAUCACCUUUAGCAUAAAUACAUUCUUGAGAAGCCGCAAACAACAAAGAGAUUCAGCAAGUGAGGAGCUGUUCCAGAGUAUUAUGAAACAGCUUUGGGGAACAGAAAAACUGCAGAUAGUAUUUAGAGGGAAAAACUCUUGAGUUCACUUUGAAGGAGAUAUCCGGACAAAUUACUAGUUUGCAUCAUGGUCAUGGACUGUAUGUCCCGCUAUCCUCGCAGCAUACUUUUAUUUUCAUUUUUCUUAAAAACUCCUGGGAUGAAUGGCUGAAAGGAGUGCAGCAUGUCUGAACAAUGAUCUGGGUGCAACUAUAUUUUUUAGAUUUUGUUGUUGUUAUGUGGCUUCAGGUAGUUUCUGCCUUAAGUCAACCCAAGGCUAUUGUAUGGAGUUUUGUGAGGCUAAGAGGAUGUGUGACUUGCCUAAGGUCAUACAGUGAGUUUUCAUGGCCAAGUGGAGAUUUAAACACUGUUUUCCAGAGUAGUAGUCUUCAACCACUACACUGUCUUUGUUAAUAGGCAAACAUAUCAUUUCUAGGCUCUCAAUCUGUUAGGUCUCUCUUUCUUCCAUUAAAAAUAUUUAAUCCUAACUGCCUCUGGUUGUUUUGUUAUGAACCCUUUAGUUCUUAACAACAGCGCACAGGCAGUUUGGAGGUGAAUCCAUCUGUUUGGCUUGAGAUGCUCUAGAUAUGUGGAGACAAUCACUUGUUUGAAGGUACGUUAACAGUUCUUCUCAUCAUGGAAGUUGGAAUGAUCUUGUUAUCCUAAUCUGCCCAGUUGACUUCUUGCCCAGCAUGGUUCAGGGAGAAAUAUCAAUCAAUAAAUUAAUUAAUUAAUUAAAACAAAUAAACUUUGGUGAGAUGUGAUCUCUAAACAGGCCCUGUGUUUUCCAGUUAAGGAGUGCUAUCUUGGAUCCUGCCAGAAAAAGCUAGCAUUGACGAAUGUUUGGCAUCUCAGAGGAGAAACAAGAUACAACAGACUUGCUAUAACUUGUUUGGAGUUCUAUUGAGUACUAAUUGUCUGAGAAUUGCUUCUGUAUUGGUUUCCAAACUCCUUCCUAUGUUUGCUGGGGGGUAAAUUGAAAGAUCCACUGUGCCCAGGAUUGCAAAAUCCUUGGUGAAUUAAAAUGGCAAUGGACACCUAUUGCUAUCUACCUACCGUGUUUUCCCAAAAAUAAGACAGUGUCUUAUAUUAAUUUUUGCUCCCAAAGAUGCUCUAGGUCUUAUUUUCCGGGAAUGUCUUAUUUUUCCAUGAAGAAGAAUUCACAUUUAUUGUUGAUCAAAAAAUGAACAUUUAUUAUAUACUGUACAAUAGUUGUCAUCAUAAACCAGCAUAACCAGACAAAUUGUGAAUCCUAUAAAGAAUUUCUUGUUACUACCAAUAUUUCCAUGUGUAACACUUUAUGGUAUGUACCUUUACCGAUCCUGCAUGCUCUGGUGUUCUGUUCGGCGGGUAUGCUUCCAAACAAAAACUUUGCUAGGUCUUACUUUUGGGGGAGGCCUUAUAUUUAGUAAUUCAGCAAAACCUCUACUAGGUCUUAUUUUCUGGGGAUGUCUUAUUUUAGGGGAAACAGGGUAGAGGCUUUUUGAGCCAUUUAGCCUGCCCUGAGGCCACAAAAGUUAAUGCCAGGAGGCUUUGUCUUGGUCCUGGUUGUUCAUGCCACACUCGGUGAGCCACUUUACUGUACUUCUGCCUCAUUUGUAAAGGCAGAAAUUUCAGACAGUUCUGUCUUGCCCAUCCUCAAAGGCAACCAGAGUGGCUUUUGGUAAAUAUAAUAGCCAAGGGCCAAAAGAGGACAGGGCUGUGGCACCUUUAAUAGUUACAUAGAAGAAUAUAUUUCAGGAGUUAUAGCUUGUCAUGAAAUUAAAAACACGGAAUUCCUCUUCUCUUUUAUAUUUGAACACUCUGUCAUAAUUGUUAAUAUUCACAUCAGAAGACUCCCCUUGUAAGUAGUUUAGAUGCAUGAAUACUAACAACAGGACCUUUUCUGCAGUUGCAUUGCACUUUAUUUCUUAUAAUUUAUUUAUUUUUUUAGAGUACUGGUUUAUCACCUUUCUGUUAAGCAGGGCCCCUGAAGCAAUGCAGAACACAUUUGAACAGAUUAAAAGCUACUUUUAAAAAUCAAGCAGUAUUUUAAAACCAGUUUUUAAGGCACAAAAAAUUAAAAUAAUCCAAAUGCUGGCCCCCACUUUAAUGAUCUUUUAAAACAUGGCUUUAAAAGCAGGCAUUUGAAAAUGGCUAAUUGUAAACCAAGAGAUGGAAGUUUUUAAUGGGAUUAAUUUUAAUUGGGUUUUAUUGCUGUUACCAACAAGAGCAGGUUCUGUGAUGUUUUAGUGGUACUAUAUGUCUUAAUUGUUGUAAAGUUUUAUAUUUAUAUGGGUGAUGUUUAUGAGUUAUAAUUAAUAUGCUUAUUGGGAUUUAUUUUUCUUCUAUGUAUUAUGAUUUGGCUUUUCUGAUUUAUUUCUUUUGAUUUAACCUUUUUGGGAUUGCAAGUGUGACUGAUACCUUGUUACAUUGUUACCUCUUGUUGUAAACUGCUUCGACUCCCCUUGGGGAGAGGGGGGAGGGAUAUAAAUAAAGCUUUAUGUUGUUGUUGUUGUUAAAUUCUAGUGCCAAUUUUAAGGAGAAAAUGCCGUGGAAAAUAGUGAGGACUUCAGCUCCUUCUGAAAGCUGACAAGGAACAGAGCCAGCUUGACUUCUUUUGGGAAGAGAUUUUACAUCAAGGUGCUACUUUUGAGAAAACAGUGGUUCAUAUACUCACCUGUCUAGCCUCUUAACGUGGUGAAAUGUAGAAUAAGGCCUUCAUCAAGACUCACAGAUUCUGACACAAGCCUUUUGGGGUUUUGUAGGUCAAAGCCAGCCCCUUGAAUUGAGCUAAGGAGUAAACUAUAAACCAGUGCAACUGUUACAAGAUUGGUGGUUUUUGGUCUCUAAAGAAAAAGCAGAAUAACAAUUUAGCAUUAGCUGUAGCUUCUGAACUCUUUUCAAGGAAAGCCCCAAAUAGAUCUCUUAACAGUAUUGUAAUUGGGAAGUCAUUAAGGCCAAAUGAGCCUUCUCUGGGAUGAAGUUAGCACACUAGUUAAAGACACCCAUUUUGCUGUAUGUUGACCUUUCCCCCUUGUCUGCCCACAUGGAUUUUGAUUUGAUUUAAAUUAAUAGGUUUAUGUACAUAUUUGACAGAUUUAUACAUGCAUAACUCUAAUUGAUUUCUAGUUAUCUGGACUUUAAGUGACAAUUAAUGAAGAUCAAUAUGUUGAAACUGCUGGCACUGGGCUGAAGCCAAUUUUUCGUUCCAACUAGAGUAGACAUAGUAGAUGAGUGGCAUGAACCAAAUUCUCAUUUUUAAAAUACUACUUGUUUAAAAAGCAGCUUGUUAAAGUGGGGAUAGGGAAAGAAUUGACACCCCCAGGUUGUGUGCUGCCCGCAGACCUCUCAAUUUUUAAAAAAAUUCUUUUGAUUGCAUCCAAAUUCACCUUUCUCCCAACAUAUCCUCUUUUUUGAAGCUAAAAUUUAAUCUUAUUCCAUAGUAAAAAUGCAGCAGUCAUGUCAUUCGUUGGUUUGAAGUAAUCUGCUAGGAAAUGUGUUUAUCAAAGUGUGGCAACUUUACUUCUGUUGAAAAAAUUGAAUUUGAUAUCAUUUCCUGGUUGGUGAUGGUUUCCCCUGUUCUCAAAAAUGCCCUGAAUACACCCUAAGGCAUCCCCCCAAAGCUUUUUGGGGUGUGUGGUGCUGGGAAUGGCCCUCCGAGGACCCCUGGUGGGACAGUGUGGCCUUUUAAGCCCUGACAGUUUCCCACCUGAGUUUGCAAACAAAGAUACAUUUCACUUAUUCCAUUUUAUCCUCACCAGGAUAAUAUGAGAUAGGUCAGGCUUGGAGCUUGUGACAUCAUAACAUGAGAAUAAGCUGAUAUGGUACCUUUGUUUCUUUGUGCAAUAAAGACACAUAUGGACAUAUUUGGAAGUAUGAGGAACUGCCAAGCUGUCAAAAGUGUGGGAUUUACUAGUCCCAGGAUAUAGAAGGUGUGGCUGAUUGUAAAAGACAAACAACCAGCUCAAGAAAAAAAUUGAUUUGAGCCCCAAAUGCCAAUUUCCAUCAUUUAUCCCACGUGGAAUAAUGAAGUACCAGUUUCAUAGAAAAUAAGUAGAACUGAUUUAAUGUAGUAGUUUGAGCACUUAAUAAUAAUAAUAAUAAUAAUAAUAAUAAUAAUAAUGCUUUAUUUAUACCCCACCACCAUCUCCUCACAGGGACUCAGGGCGGCUUACAUUGGGCGAAGCCCAAACAACAUAAUUAAACAAAGAAACAAUAACAUAAAUACACUUCACAGUAUAAAAAGAAACAAUAAUCUAUAUAUAUAAAAGGAUAAAAAAAAUGGCCUAGGACAAAACAACAAAACUACACAUCCCAGAAACACUAAACUUGACAACACAACCCCUCAUUCAUGCCUCUACGUUCAUACAACAAAAAGAAAAGAAAAAUAAAGUCCUAAUUAGAAGGAGAGGAAGAAUUGUUUUUUAUCCAAUUGCUGCCAGUUACAAGGCUAAGCUCUGCCCACUUGGUCUCCUAGCAACCUACUCAGCCCAGGGGACAGGCACAGUUAGGCCUCAGGCCUCUUCCACACUGCCUAUAAGAUACAGAUUAUCUGAUUUUAACUGGAUUAUAUGGCAGUGUAGACUCAAGGCCCUUCCACACAGCUAUAUUACCCAUUUAUAGUGUGCAUUUUAUACAGCUGUGUAGAGGGGGCCUCAUAUAAUCCAGUUCUAAGCAGAUAAUAUAAGAUUAUAAAUAUACAGUAGAGUCUCACUUAUCCAACAUAAACAGGCCAGCAGAACGUUGGAUAAGUGAAUAUGUUGGAUAAUAAGGGAUUCAGGAAAAGCCGAUUAAACAUCAAAUUAGGUAAUGAUUAUACAAAUUAAGCACCAAACAUCAUGUUAUACAACAAAUUUGACAGAAAAAGUAGUUCAAUGCUCAGUAAUGCUAUGUUGUAAUUACUGUAUUUACAAAUUUAGCACCAAAAUAUCACAAUGAAUUUAAAACAUUGACUACAAAAACAUUGACUACUAAAAGGCAGACUGCGUUGGAUAAUCCAGAACAUUGGAUAAGCGAAUGUUGGAUAAGUGAGAUUCUACUGUAAUAUGAAAUAAUUACUAUGGUAAUCCAGUCCAACCCAAUUCUGCCAUGGAGGACACAAUCCAAUCACGCCCAACAGAUGGCCACCCAGCCUCUCAAUAAUAAUAAUAAUAAUAAGAAGAAGAAGAAUAUCAUACAAUCAUAAGGUUAGGAGACACCCCUAAAUAUCAUCCAAUUCAACUUCCUUCUACCAUGUGACGACACAAACCAAGCAAUCCUGACAGAUGGCCAUCCAAGAUCUGCACAGUAAUCAUACAAAUCGAAUCAUAGAAUCAGACAGUUAGGAGAGACCCCUAAAGGCCAUCCAGUCCAACCCAACUCUGCCAUUGGACGAUACAAUCCAAGCACUCCCAACAGAUGGCCAGCCUGCCUCUCAAUAAUAAUAAGAAGAAUAUCAUACAAUCCUAAGGUUAGCAGAUACCUCUAAGGAUCAUCCAGUUCAACUUCCUUAUAUCAUGCAGUUGGACACAAUCCAACCACUCCUGACAGAUGGCCAUCCAAUAUCUGCACAAUAAUAAUACACAUCGAAUCAUAGCAUCAGACAGUUAAGAAACACCCCUAAAGGCCAUCCAGUCCAACCCAAUUCUGCCAUGCAGGACACAAUCCAAGUACUCCCAACAGAUGGCCACCCAGCCUCUCAAUACUAAUACUAAUAAUAAUAAAAAUAACAACAACAUCAUACAAUCCUAAGGUUUGGAGUGACCCCUAAGGAUCAUCCAGAUCAACUUCCUUCUACCAUGCAGGAGGACACAAUCCAAGCACUCCUGACAGAUGGCCAUCCAGCCUC